ACUCUAACCAGGUCCUGAGAAGUCAGGACCUUCUGGGACAGAAGAAAGCUUUGGGACAAGACUCAGUGGAAGAGCAACAUCCUGGCACCCAGAGAAGAAGAGGCUCUGUUGUGCCUGCCUCAAGUUAGGAGAAGCCCAUGCAUAGUUGGUCCUUACAGUGGUCACUAAUGCAGAAACAGUGGCCCAAAUUGGAGACAGUAAUUGUUUAUCAAAUCAUAAACCACAUAGCCAUGAAAAGACUCCAGAAGAGUCAAGAGAAUCUUUAAGAAGAAAGCUGGAGGACUUACACCAUCAUACAAGAGAGACAGAGCAUGAACGGGGAAGGGGCAGAGAGAG
Molecule: long non-coding RNA, 336 nt
Organism: Herpailurus yagouaroundi (jaguarundi)
Lineage: Eukaryota; Metazoa; Chordata; Mammalia; Carnivora; Felidae
Exons: 3
Source: RefSeq, a predicted model, not a curated record